RNAcentral lists this ribosomal RNA (448 nucleotides) under uncultured bacterium. Its description in RNAcentral is "bacterial SSU rRNA". It matches the Rfam family "Bacterial small subunit ribosomal RNA", at positions 329 to 794 of the family's 1533-position model. The record is from RNAcentral.
GGCCAGACUCCUACGGGAGGCAGCAGUGGGGAAUAUUGCACAAUGGGGGAAACCCUGAUGCAGCGACGCCGCGUGAGUGAAGAAGUAUUUCGGUAUGUAAAGCUCUAUCAGCAGGGAAGAAAAUGACGGUACCUGACUAAGAAGCCCCGGCUAACUACGUGCCAGCAGCCGCGGUAAUACGUAGGGGGCAAGCGUUAUCCGGAUUUACUGGGUGUAAAGGGAGCGUAGACGGCAUGGCAAGUCAGAUGUGAAAGCCCGGGGCUCAACCCCGGGACUGCAUUUGAAACUGUCAGGCUGGAGUGCAGGAGAGGUAAGUGGAAUUCCUAGUGUAGCGGUGAAAUGCGUAGAUAUUAGGAGGAACACCAGUGGCGAAGGCGGCUUACUGGACUGUAACUGACGUUGAGGCUCGAAAGCGUGGGGAGCAAACAGGAUUAGAUACCCCCGUACC